GUACACAAAAAUGCACAUACUGUGAGCUCGAUGAGUAGGGCGGGACACGUGGUAUCCUGUCUGAAUAUGGGGGGACCAUCCUCCAAGGCUAAAUACUCCUGACUGACCGAUAGUGAACCAGUACCGUGAGGGAAAGGCGAAAAGAACCCCGGCGAGGGGAGUGAAAAAGAACCUGAAACCGUGUACGUACAAGCAGUGGGAGCCUCUUAAUGGGGUGACUGCGUACCUUUUGUAUAAUGGGUCAGCGACUUAUAUUCUGUAGCAAGGUUAACCGAAUAGGGGAGCCGAAGGGAAACCGAGUCUUAACUGGGCGUUAAGUUGCAGGGUAUAGACCCGAAACCCGGUGAUCUAGCCAUGGGCAGGUUGAAGGUUGGGUAACACUAACUGGAGGACCGAACCGACUAAUGUUGAAAAAUUAGCGGAUGACUUGUGGCUGGGGGUGAAAGGCCAAUCAAACCGGGAGAUAGCUGGUUCUCCCCGAAAGCUAUUUAGGUAGCGCCUCGUGAAUUCAUCUCCGGGGGUAGAGCACUGUUUCGGCAAGGGGGUCAUCCCGACUUACCAACCCGAUGCAAACUGCGAAUACCGGAGAAUGUUAUCACGGGAGACACACGGCGGGUGCUAACGUCCGUCGUGAAGAGGGAAACAACCCAGACCGCCAGCUAAGGUCCCAAAGUCAUGGUUAAGUGGGAAACGAUGUGGGAAGGCCCAGACAGCCAGGAUGUUGGCUUAGAAGCAGCCAUCAUUUAAAGAAAGCGUAAUAGCUCACUGGUCGAGUCGGCCUGCGCGGAAGAUGUAACGGGGCUAAACCAUGCACCGAAGCUGCGGCAGCGACACUAUGUGUUGUUGGGUAGGGGAGCGUUCUGUAAGCCUGUGAAGGUGUACUGUGAGGUAUGCUGGAGGUAUCAGAAGUGCGAAUGCUGACAUAAGUAACGAUAAAGCGGGUGAAAAGCCCGCUCGCCGGAAGA
This 965-nucleotide ribosomal RNA is filed under the name Escherichia coli. RNAcentral's name for it is "partial 23S ribosomal RNA". It matches the Rfam family "Bacterial large subunit ribosomal RNA", at positions 375 to 1344 of the family's 2925-position model. Lineage: Bacteria; Pseudomonadati; Pseudomonadota; Gammaproteobacteria; Enterobacterales; Enterobacteriaceae. The record is from RNAcentral.